UAGACAGUAAUGUUUAUAUGAGUCUGC
This 27-nucleotide non-coding RNA is filed under the name Mus musculus (house mouse). The record is from RNAcentral. Lineage: Eukaryota; Metazoa; Chordata; Mammalia; Rodentia; Muridae.